GGGUGAACCUUUUUCGAUGAUGACGCAUGCGCAUUUCAAAUAUUUAUUGUUUUGAUAGAUUUUCAACAAAAUUUAAAAGAAAUUUUUAAUUUUUGGUAUCAGGAGAACAUGAAGAGGUUGGGGUAAACCUAUUUUCGGUGAUGGCGCAUGCGCAUUUCGAAUAUUCAUCUUCAAAAUGCAAUUCCCGCCAAAUUUGAAAUUUGAAAUAUAAUAUAAAUUCAAAAGCACGUGUUUAAAUAAAGAAAUUUUAAUUUUAAGUAUCAGGAGAACAUGAAGAGGUUGGGGUAAACCUUUUUCGAUGAUGACGCAUGCGCAUUUCAAAUAUUUAUUGUUUUGAUAGAUUUUCAACAAAAUUUAAAAGAAAUUUUUAAUUUUUGGUAUCAGGAGAACAUGAAGAGGUUGGGGUAAACCUAUUUUCGGUGAUGGCGCAUGCGCAUUUCGAAUAUUCAUCUUCAAAAUGCAAUUCCCGCCAAAUUUGAAAUUUGAAAUAUAAUAUAAAUUCAAAAGCACGUGUUUAAAUAAAGAAAUUUUAAUUUUAAGUAUCAGGAGAACAUGAAGAGGUUGGGGUAAACCUUUUUCGAUGAUGACGCAUGCGCAUUUCAAAUAUUUAUUGUUUUGAUAGAUUUUCAACAAAAUUUAAAAGAAAUUUUUAAUUUUUGGUAUCAGGAGAACAUGAAGAGGUUGGGGUAAACCUAUUUUCGGUGAUGGCGCAUGCGCAUUUCGAAUAUUCAUCUUCAAAAUGCAAUUCCCGCCAAAUUUGAAAUUUGAAAUAUAAUAUAAAUUCAAAAGCACGUGUUUAAAUAAAGAAAUUUUAAUUUUAAGUAUCAGGAGAACAUGAAGAGGUUGGGGUAAUCCUAUUUACGUUGAUGGCGCAUGCGCAUUUUAAAUAUUUAUUGUUUUGAUAGAUUUUCAACAAAAUUUAAAAGAAAUUUUUAAUUUUAAG
Molecule: long non-coding RNA, 943 nt
Organism: Leptopilina boulardi
Lineage: Eukaryota; Metazoa; Arthropoda; Insecta; Hymenoptera; Figitidae
Exons: 3
Source: RefSeq, a predicted model, not a curated record